Molecule: ribosomal RNA, 928 nt
Filed under: Terrimonas sp.
Lineage: Bacteria; Pseudomonadati; Bacteroidota; Chitinophagia; Chitinophagales; Chitinophagaceae
Description: bacterial SSU rRNA
Rfam family: Bacterial small subunit ribosomal RNA
Source: RNAcentral
UACAUGCUAGUCGAGGGGCAGCAUGGUGUAGCAAUACACUGAUGGCGACCGGCAAACGGGUGCGGAACACGUACACAACCUUCCUUCGAGCGGGGAAUAGCCCGGGGAAACCCGGAUUAAUACCCCAUAGUAUAUUGGAGUGGCAUCACUUUGAUAUUAAAGAUUUAUCACUUGAAGAUGGGUGUGCGGCUGAUUAGGUAGUUGGCGGGGUAACGGCCCACCAAGCCUACGAUCAGUAACUGGUGUGAGAGCACGACCAGUCACACGGGCACUGAGACACGGGCCCGACUCCUACGGGAGGCAGCAGUAAGGAAUAUUGGUCAAUGGACGAAAGUCUGAACCAGCCAUGCCGCGUGGAGGAUGAAGGUCCUCUGGAUUGUAAACUUCUUUUAUAUGGGACGAAAAAAGGCUUUUCUAAGUCGUCUGACGGUACCAUAUGAAUAAGCACCGGCUAACUCCGUGCCAGCAGCCGCGGUAAUACGGAGGGUGCAAGCGUUAUCCGGAUUCACUGGGUUUAAAGGGUGCGUAGGUGGGUUGGUAAGUCAGUGGUGAAAUCCCCGAGCUUAACUUGGGAACUGCCAUUGAUACUAUCAGUCUUGAAUACCGUGGAGGUUAGCGGAAUAUGUCAUGUAGCGGUGAAAUGCUUAGAUAUGACAUAGAACACCAAUUGCGAAGGCAGCUGGCUACACGAAUAUUGACACUGAGGCACGAAAGCGUGGGGAUCAAACAGGAUUAGAUACCCUGGUAGUCCACGCCCUAAACUAUGGAUACUCGACAUCAGCGAUACACUGUUGGUUGUCUGAGCGAAAGCAUUAAGUAUCCCACCUGGGAAGUACGAUCGCAAGAUUGAAACUCAAAGGAAUUGGCGGGGGUCCGCACAAGCGGGGAAGCAUGUGGUUUAAUUCGAUGAUACGCGAGGAACCUUACC